AUUGGAGGGCAAGUCUGGUGCCAGCAGCCGCGGUAAUUCCAGCUCCAAUAGCGUAUAUUAAAAUUGUUGCAGUUAAAAAGCUCGUAGUUGAAUUUCUGCUGCAUUACAUAUCUCUUGUUUGAGUUUGUUUUUGUGGCUUAUUUCGGUCUGAUUUUUUUAUCUUUCCGGAUGAUUACUUUGAGAAAAUUAGAGUGCUCAAAGCAGGCUUUUGCCUUGAAUAGUUUAGCAUGGAAUAAUAAAGUAGGACUUUGGUUCUAUUUUGUUGGUUUUAGGUACCAAAGUAAUGGUUAAUAGGAACAGUUGGGGGCAUUCGUAUUUAACUGUCAGAGGUGAAAUUCUUAGAUUUGUUAAAGACGAACUACUGCGAAAGCAUUUGCCAAGGAUGUUUUCAUUAAUCAAGAACGAAAGUUAGGGGAUCGAAGACGAUCGGAUACCGUCGUAGUCCUAACCAUAAACUAUGCCGACUAGAGAUUGGAGGUCGUCAGUUUUUACGACUCCUUCAGCACCUUG
RNAcentral lists this ribosomal RNA (510 nucleotides) under Theileria orientalis. RNAcentral's name for it is "SSU rRNA". It matches the Rfam family "Eukaryotic small subunit ribosomal RNA", at positions 547 to 1090 of the family's 1831-position model. Lineage: Eukaryota; Apicomplexa; Aconoidasida; Piroplasmida; Theileriidae. The record is from RNAcentral.